RNAcentral lists this ribosomal RNA (441 nucleotides) under uncultured Glomeromycotina. RNAcentral's name for it is "SSU rRNA". It matches the Rfam family "Eukaryotic small subunit ribosomal RNA", at positions 569 to 1015 of the family's 1831-position model. The record is from RNAcentral. Lineage: Eukaryota; Fungi; Glomeromycota.
AGCAGCCGCGGUAAUUCCAGCUCCAAUAGCGUAUAUUAAAGUUGUUGCAGUUAAAAAGCUCGUAGUUGAAUUUCGGGGUUAGUAGGUUGGUCAUGCCUCUGGUAUGUACUGAUCUCACUGAUUCCUCCUUCCUUAUGAACCGUAAUGCCAUUAAUUUGGUGUUGCGGGGAAUUUGGACUGUUACUUUGAAAAAUUAGAGUGUUUAAAGCAGGCUAACGCUUGAAUACAUUAGCAUGGAAUAAUGAAAUAGGACGUUCGAUCUUAUUUUGUUGGUUUCUAGGAUUGACGUAAUGAUUAAUAGGGAUAGUUGGGGGCAUUAGUAUUCAAUUGUCAGAGGUGAAAUUCUUGGAUUUAUUGAAGACUAACUACUGCGAAAGCAUUUGCCAAGGAUGUUUUCAUUAAUCAAGAACGAAAGUUAGGGGAUCGAAGACGAUCAGAUAC